AGAUGAAAUGAAGACAGAGUAUGAUGGCUCAUUUGACUUUUUCCAGACUUAGAAAUGGAGAGCCCCAGAGUCCAAAUCCUUGGACCCGCCUUCUUCCUUAGGGCCAGAAGGAGGAAAUGGAUCCAGCCAGAAGGAUCAGAGAGUGUCAGAAGAUCCGGAAACUUCCUCUGUGUGGCCAAAGUCUCAAAAUAUGCCAUUCUAUUCUGGGGAAUGCCGUGUCUAUUCAGGGCUCCAUCCAUCAAAUAGAAAUGGGACUCUAGGCUACUUUCCCACCUCCCAGGAAUGUGGAUGCCUAGAACACAAUAAUUCUUUUAAUCUUCUAAGAUAUAUAUAUAUAUAUAUAUAUACCAGAUUCCAGGACAG
This 363-nucleotide long non-coding RNA is filed under the name Callithrix jacchus (white-tufted-ear marmoset). RNAcentral's name for it is "lncRNA (ENSCJAG00000074979.1)". The record is from RNAcentral. Lineage: Eukaryota; Metazoa; Chordata; Mammalia; Primates; Cebidae.